GCCUGGCAAAGUCACAGGAAGUAUCUCCAUGGCACCGCAUCAGCCCUCACAGAGCAGGAAACCUUGAUUUCUACAGAGGCUGUUUCCUCCCAGCCUUGUGCAAGGCCCACUGCAGAGACAAAAUUAUGGUGGCCAAAGUGUGAAUGCCAAGGCCACACUGGCCUCCAUCCCUGGGAUUUGCUGGUAGAAGAAAGGGAAUCAGCGCUGACUGAGCUCCUACUAUGUGCCCUUCCUGGGCCUGGCACUGGAAUCACAGGAUGAAUGAAUAAGGCAUAUUUCCUGCCCUGAGGAGGCGUCUAUAGGGGAAGUCGGAAUUAAGGCACCUCCAGAAUUCUGAGGUCAAGGGAAUGUCAACAGAGCUGUGAACAAAAUGCCCAAAGCCAUGAAAAUCUACAGAGAGAGACUCGAAGGGGAGGAAUGGGGUAGGAGCUGGUGCCGAGGAUGAGAGGGGAGAAUUCACCUGGUGGAGAACUGAUAGGCCAGGCUGAGGUCGGGAUGGUGGAGGAGGUGGUGGAGGUGAUGAGGUACCAGAGCAACCUCGAAGAAAGCUGAGAGGCAGGAGACCGCCAAAGGCAAACUUGGAACACCUGGUGACUCCGACUAACUCUCCAUGUGGUGUCCUUGAGGACUUUUAUGAUACUGCUACCACUGCUAAUAGUAAUAAAAGCCACUAUUUAAUGUGUUUACUAUGCGCUGGGUGUGCAAAUAUUGUGGAAAGAGUGAACAUAUGUGCAGAAUGCUUAAUAAACGUGAUCUCCUUUUAUCUUCAAAAGAA
RNAcentral lists this long non-coding RNA (775 nucleotides) under Homo sapiens (human). RNAcentral describes it as "non-protein coding LINC01353:1". Lineage: Eukaryota; Metazoa; Chordata; Mammalia; Primates; Hominidae. The record is from RNAcentral.